RNAcentral lists this ribosomal RNA (274 nucleotides) under uncultured bacterium. RNAcentral describes it as "partial 16S ribosomal RNA". It matches the Rfam family "Bacterial small subunit ribosomal RNA", at positions 523 to 796 of the family's 1533-position model. The record is from RNAcentral.
AUACGGAGGGUGCAAGCGUUAAUCGGAAUUACUGGGCGUAAAGCGUACGUAGGCGGUUCGUUAAGUUAGAUGUGAAAGCCCCGGGCUUAACCUGGGAACUGCAUUUAAAACUGGCGGACUCGAGUUGAGUAGAGGGGAGUGGAAUUUCAGGUGUAGCGGUGAAAUGCGUAGAGAUCUGAAGGAACACCAGUGGCGAAGGCGACUCCCUGGACUCGAACUGACGCUGAGGUACGAAAGCGUGGGUAGCAAACGGGAUUAGAAACCCGGGUAGUCC